RNAcentral lists this ribosomal RNA (253 nucleotides) under uncultured bacterium. RNAcentral describes it as "partial 16S ribosomal RNA". It matches the Rfam family "Bacterial small subunit ribosomal RNA", at positions 524 to 776 of the family's 1533-position model. The record is from RNAcentral.
UACGUAGGGUGCAAGCGUUAAUCGGAAUUACUGGGCGUAAAGCGUUCGCAGUCGGUUAUUUAAGACAGGGGUGAAAUCCCCGGGCUUAACCUGGGAACUGCAUUUGUGACUGCAUAGCUAGAGUACGGUAGAGGGGGAUGGAAUUCCGCGUGUAGCAGUGAAAUGCGUAGAUAUGCGGAGGAACCCCGAUGGCGAAGGCAAUCCCCUGGACCUGUACUGACGCUCAUGCACGAAAGCGUGGGGAGCAAACAGG